AGCAGCCCAGAGCCUGAAUCAGUGUGUGUGUUAGUGGAAGCGUCUGGAAAGGCGCGCGAUACAGGGUGACAGCCCCGUACACAAAAAUGCACAUACUGUGAGCUCGAUGAGUAGGGCGGGACACGUGGUAUCCUGUCUGAAUAUGGGGGGACCAUCCUCCAAGGCUAAAUACUCCUGACUGACCGAUAGUGAACCAGUACCGUGAGGGAAAGGCGAAAAGAACCCCGGCGAGGGGAGUGAAAAAGAACCUGAAACCGUGUACGUACAAGCAGUGGGAGCACGCUUAGGCGUGUGACUGCGUACCUUUUGUAUAAUGGGUCAGCGACUUAUAUUCUGUAGCAAGGUUAACCGAAUAGGGGAGCCGAAGGGAAACCGAGUCUUAACUGGGCGUUAAGUUGCAGGGUAUAGACCCGAAACCCGGUGAUCUAGCCAUGGGCAGGUUGAAGGUUGGGUAACACUAACUGGAGGACCGAACCGACUAAUGUUGAAAAAUUAGCGGAUGACUUGUGGCUGGGGGUGAAAGGCCAAUCAAACCGGGAGAUAGCUGGUUCUCCCCGAAAGCU
Molecule: ribosomal RNA, 563 nt
Filed under: Escherichia coli
Lineage: Bacteria; Pseudomonadati; Pseudomonadota; Gammaproteobacteria; Enterobacterales; Enterobacteriaceae
Description: partial 23S ribosomal RNA
Rfam family: Bacterial large subunit ribosomal RNA
Source: RNAcentral